CAAGAGUGGUGAGAUUGGUCCCCGGGGAU
This 29-nucleotide non-coding RNA is filed under the name Rattus norvegicus (Norway rat). The record is from RNAcentral. Lineage: Eukaryota; Metazoa; Chordata; Mammalia; Rodentia; Muridae.